CCCAUAAAGUUGUUCUCAGUUCGGAUUGUAGUCUGCAACUCGACUACAUGAAGCUGGAAUCGCUAGUAAUCGUAGAUCAGCAUGCUACGGUGAAUACGUUCCCGGGUCUUGUACACACCGCCCGUCACACCACGAGAGUUUGUAACACCCGAAGCCGGUGGAGUAACCUUUUAGGAGCUAGCCGUCGAAGGUGGGACAAAUGAUUGGGGUGAAGUCGUAACAAGGUAGCCGUAUCGGAAGGUGCGGCUGGAUCACCUCCUUUCUAAGGA
This 269-nucleotide ribosomal RNA is filed under the name Staphylococcus aureus. RNAcentral describes it as "partial 16S ribosomal RNA". It matches the Rfam family "Bacterial small subunit ribosomal RNA", at positions 1273 to 1533 of the family's 1533-position model. The record is from RNAcentral. Lineage: Bacteria; Bacillati; Bacillota; Bacilli; Caryophanales; Staphylococcaceae.